UACCUGGUUGAUCCUGCCAGUAGUCAUAUGCUUGUCUCAAAGAUUAAGCCAUGCAUGUGUAAGCACACACUGUUUUAAAAGUGAAGCCGCGAAUGGCUCAUUACAACAGCCACAGUUUAUUAGAACUUACAAUCAUGGAUAACUGUGGUAAUUCUAGAGCUAAUACACGCACAAAAACUUCAACUGAAUUGGUUGAAGUGCUUUUAUUAGAACAAAAACCGAACGGCGUUUGACGAAUGUUGAACGUCGAAACUGUUUGGUGAAUCUGAAUAACUAUUUCUGAUCGCAUGGUCUAGCACCGGCGACAUCACUUUCAAGUGUCUGCCUUAUCAACCUUCGAUGGUAGUCUAUGCGACUACCAUGGUGAUAACGGGUAACGGAGAAUCAGGGUUCGACUCCGGAGAGGGAGCCUGAGAAACGGCUACCACAUCCAAGGAAGGCAGCAGGCGCGCAAAUUACCCACUCCCAGCUUGGGGAGGUAGUGACGAAAAAUAACGAGACGAAUUCUCGUUUGAGAAAACGUUAUCGAAAAUGAGUACGCUUUUACACACCCCUAACCAAGUUACAAUUGGGAGGGGG
Molecule: non-coding RNA, 579 nt
Organism: Trichinella spiralis
Lineage: Eukaryota; Metazoa; Nematoda; Enoplea; Trichinellida; Trichinellidae
Source: Rfam